Molecule: non-coding RNA, 112 nt
Filed under: zebrafish metagenome
Source: RNAcentral
AAGAGGACCUUCCGAAGCCGCUCUGCAGGGGGAGGCUUCAAACCACUCUAAGCUGCGUUGAUCAAAAGUCAAGGUGGUGAGCGUUAGAGAAAAGGUAUCUUAAAGAUAUCAG